This 225-nucleotide long non-coding RNA is filed under the name Lathyrus oleraceus (garden pea). RNAcentral describes it as "Pisum sativum (pea) long non-coding RNA (PSAT_LNC020076)". Lineage: Eukaryota; Viridiplantae; Streptophyta; Magnoliopsida; Fabales; Fabaceae. The record is from RNAcentral.
GGGGGGCUACCAAGUCAUGGAGUAAAUUCACUAAAUAGUAUUAGUUUGUAGGCCUUCUGCAAACUAUCUCCAAUUUACAAUUAACAACCUAAUCACUACCCGUGCUUAACUUCUACCUAAGACUCUUCUAGGUGUGAGACCCUUCUCACCUCCCUAUCAAUCACAACAGUGAUACUUAAACACUUACAAGAAAUUCAGGAGACACACUUUACAAACACACAAUCA